GACGAACGCUGGCGGCGUGCUUAACACAUGCAAGUCGAACGGAAAGGCCCUGCUUUUGUGGGGUGCUCGAGUGGCGAACGGGGGAGUAACACGUGAGUAACCUGCCCUUGACUUUGGGAUAACUUCAGGAAACUGGGGCUAAUACCGGAUAGGAGCUCCUGUUGCAUGGAGGGGGGUGGAAAGUCUCGGCGGUUGUGGAUGGACUAGCGGCUUAUCGGCUUGUUGGUGGGGGAGUCGCUGACCAAGGCUUGGGCUGGUAGCCGGCCGGGGAGGGUGACCGGGGACAUUGGGACUGCGGUACGCCCCAGACUCCUACAUGGGACAGCAGUGGGGAAUAUUGCCCAAUGGGCGGACGCCUGAUGCAGCAACGCCGCGUUCGUGAUGACGGCCUUCGGGUUGUAAACCGCUUUCGCCUAUGACGAAGCGUUAGUGACGGUACUGGGUAAAUAAGCACCGGCUAACUACGUG
RNAcentral lists this ribosomal RNA (468 nucleotides) under uncultured bacterium. RNAcentral describes it as "partial 16S ribosomal RNA". It matches the Rfam family "Bacterial small subunit ribosomal RNA", at positions 28 to 507 of the family's 1533-position model. The record is from RNAcentral.